RNAcentral lists this long non-coding RNA (1285 nucleotides) under Rattus norvegicus (Norway rat). RNAcentral's name for it is "long non-coding RNA NONRATT031556". Lineage: Eukaryota; Metazoa; Chordata; Mammalia; Rodentia; Muridae. The record is from RNAcentral.
GUGACUCUUUAUUGUAAUCUAAAUAUCAACUGUCUGGGUCAUCACAUUGUGACAACACUGAAAAGUAACAAUUACCCAUUAUUAUGCUUUUCAAUUUCCAGUUCUCAAAAGUGAAUGGCUCUGUGUUCACUCUGUACUUUGGCAUGAAGCUCAUUGUGAUAUUGCAUGGAUAUGCAGCAACAAAAGAAGGCUUGAUUGAUCACGGAGAGGAGUUUACUAAAAGAGGAAGCUUCCCAGUAGCUGAAAAAAUUAAUAAAGGCCUUGGAAUUGCUUUUAGCCAUGGAAAUAGAUGGAAAGAAAUAAGACGCUUUACACUCAUGACCUUGCAGAAUUUGGGCAUGGGGAAAAAGAGCAUUGAGGACCGUGUUCAAGAGGAAACACAGUGCCUUGUGGAGGAACUGAGGAAAACCAAUGGUGAUCAUACUUUCCUGUUUUGACUUUUCCAUCCUGAUACAGGUUAGAGUCCAAUGGAUCUACUGGUAUUAUUCUAUUCAAAAUGAUGUUUUCUCUGUUGCUUUUGAAUCAGGUAUCAUGAACACAGCAUUUAUUUUAAUUUUCUGAUAAGUUACAUCCUUAGAACAAAGAUACUUUAUUUAUUGCUAGUCAUUUUACCACAGAUCAGUUGUUAUUGAAAAUGGUGGCAGUGACUUCAUCUACAUUUAAAGAUUCCAAACCAGAUGUUAUUUCUUUUCAUUUUCUUGAACUACUUUCAUCUCCCCAAAUUCACUGAUGUGACAAUAUGUCUUGAAUGCUCAUUUUCAUAGUCCUGGGUACUUAUGAGUCAAAGUAUAUUUUCAUUCCUUAGCUGUAUUUAAUAGAAUUUCGUCAUGAUAUGAAAAAUUAUCAUAAUUUCAUUUUAUGAUGAUUUGUAUGCUUUAAGAAUUUACACAUGAAAGUAUUAAUCUUCAAACACAAAGAACUUAAUAAAAUGACUUGUUUAAGUAACCUUGAAUUGUUUUCAUUAACAACAUCUCAUUUUUGCUAAGUAUAUUACAUAUCUGUCUUCUGUUGUGUAAACCAUUUCUCUCUGUAUUCGUUGUUUUGGCUUAGGUGAUGAACAGAUCUUCAAUUGCUAUGUGAAUGCUACUCACUCCUGAAAUACCUUUCACAGAACAGUCAACUUAUCUGCUUAAAUUAUGAAGAAACUUGUCUUUAAGUACUUUCUCCAAAAUAAAAUGAAGACUGAAAAUCAUAUUUUAGUGAAGUUUAAAAUUUCUCCAGGGAUUUUUCCCAUUAACAAAGAUAAAGUGCCCUCUUGGUAUAUUUUAAUAACAUAUUACAAUUG